RNAcentral lists this ribosomal RNA (1370 nucleotides) under human oral metagenome. RNAcentral describes it as "bacterial LSU rRNA". It matches the Rfam family "Bacterial large subunit ribosomal RNA", at positions 1102 to 2518 of the family's 2925-position model. The record is from RNAcentral.
UGGCUUAGAAGCAGCCAUUCAUUUAAAGAGUGCGUAAUAGCUCACUGGUCGAGUGAAGUUGCGCGGAAAAUUACCGGGGCUAAGUUAUCAACCGAAAUUGCGGAUUUGUAAUUUAUUACAAGUGGUAGAGGAGCAUUCUAUUGUAGGAUGAAGUCAGAGCGUGAGCACUGGUGGACGAGAUAGAAGAGAGAAUGCUGGAAUAAGUAGCGAGAGCAGGGUGAGAAUCCCUGCCGUCGAAAGUCUAAGGUUUCCUGGGGAAGGUUCGUCCGCCCAGGGUUAGUCAGGACCUAAGGAGAGGCCGAAAGGCGUAUCUGAUGGAUAGCAGGUUGAUAUUCCUGCACUAUAUAAUACUUAAAAGAUGCAACUGACGCAGAAGUGGAAGGUGAGCAAGGAAAUGGAAAAACUUGUUCCGCAAGGGGGAGUGAAAAUAAAGUAACGAAGCACCAAGAAGCACGCUGACGAGAAAAGGUUGUAGAUCUUGUAUUAUAUACUUGUACCGCAAACCGACACAGGUAGAUGAGGAGAGGAUCCUAAGACGAGCGGGAGAAGCAUUGUUAAGGAACUCGGCAAAUUGACCCCGUAACUUAGGGAUAAGGGGUGCUGGUGUAAAAACCAGUCGCAGUAAAUAGGCCCAAGCAACUGUUUAACAAAAACACAGGUUUCUGCUAAAUCGCAAGAUGAAGUAUAGGAGCUGACUCCUGCCCAGUGCUGGAAGGUUAAGGGGAAAGGUUAGGAAUAAUUCAUUAUAUCUGAAGCUUUGAACUCAAGCCCCAGUGAACGGCGGCCGUAACUAUAACGGUCCUAAGGUAGCGAAAUUCCUUGUCAGGUAAGUUCUGACCCGCACGAAAGGCGUAAUGAUUUGGGAGCUGUCUCGACAAUGUCCCCGGCGAAAUUGUAGUACUAGUGAAGAUGCUAGUUACCUGCGACAAGACGGAAAGACCCCAUGGAGCUUUACUAUAGCCUGAUAUUGGGCUUUGGUAUCUUAUGUACAGGAUAGGUGGGAGACUAUGAGAUUAAGACGCAAGUCUUAAAGGAGUCAACCUUGGAAUACCACCCUUAAGAUAUUAGAGUUCUAACUUGUGAUCAUAAACUGGUCAGAGGACAUUGUCAGGUGGGUAGUUUGACUGGGGCGGUCACCUCCUAAAGAGUAACGGAGGUGCGCAAAGGUUUCCUCGGCACGGUCAGAAAUCGUGCUAAUGAGUGUAAAGGCAUAAGGAAGCUUAACUGAGAGAGAGACAUCUCGAGCAGAUACGAAAGUAGGUCUUAGUGAUCCGGUGGUAGAAAAUGGAAUUGCCAUCGCUCAACGGAUAAAAGUUACCCUGGGGAUAACAGGCUUAUCUCCCCCAAGAGUUCACAUCGACGGGGAGGUU